ACAAACGGAUUCCAUUGGCUUCAAUAACACGUUUGUUGUCUAUAAUGGGAGGUGGCCACCACCGCCAUUUUGACCGUGUCACAGGUUCCGUCCAGCCCAGACAAUUCCAUAAAAGGGAAGAGAGGAGGCGCUGAGGGUGUGGCUGUAAGGCUGGGCUCGAGUGACGACACCCUGGCGAACUAGCUACGAGCUAACCUGAAGCUAACCCUGGCUAACCCAAAGCUAAAGCGGAGGUGGGAGCCGAGCUAACGGAUGUAGCCACCUAGCUUCAACCCAACCGGAGCUAACUGGAACACCCAUCGACCUGAACCUUACACGGAGUUUAGGUGGAGGUUUUCUGCGCCUGUUCGUGAGAAGUACCAGUAUUAAAAAAGUUUUAAAUCGAUCUGUUAAAAGGUCACCAUGGCAGCCUGUGUGUCUCCAACAUCAGCUACACAAAGCAGCAAGUCCAUUUGGAUCAUUGGAGACAGCUGAGUGAGGCGUGGUGCCCAGAGAGCUGCAGAGACAACCUUGGCCUCCCUGACGUCUGUGUCUCCUGGUUCGGUUGGGGCGGACCAUCGACAUACAUACAUACAUGUGCCGACACUUUGCGCCCUGUUUUAUAAAAUGUAGUGUUAAAAAUAAAUGUUUUUGCUCAA
Nothobranchius furzeri (turquoise killifish) is the source of this 638-nucleotide non-coding RNA. NCBI's taxonomy places the organism in Eukaryota, Metazoa, Chordata, Actinopteri, Cyprinodontiformes, Nothobranchiidae. The record is from RefSeq and is a predicted model, not a curated record.